Molecule: long non-coding RNA, 7380 nt
Organism: Phyllopteryx taeniolatus (common seadragon)
Lineage: Eukaryota; Metazoa; Chordata; Actinopteri; Syngnathiformes; Syngnathidae
Exons: 4
Source: RefSeq, a predicted model, not a curated record
GUGAUGAACUGAAUGUACUGUUAGCCACAAGUGAUACAUUCGUUGAACUUCUUCGUUCAUGAUCCGUUAGCCAAGAGUGAUUCAUUCGUUGAAGUUCUUCAACCGCGAUCCGUUAGCCACAAGUGAUUCAUUCGUUGAACUUCUUCGUUCGUAAUCCGUUUAGGAGUGAUGUACUAGUGACAACAACAGUAUGGUGGGUGAACAGGAAGCCCGGGUGCUGGUGUCAGAAUGCAUACAAGUUUCGCCGGCCAGCGGGAGCCUGUGUGGAUGGAGAGGGGACGCGGAAGGAUGUAUGCGGUAGCUGAGCUCGCCGCACACAUGUUCACGAGUCACAACCGAAGCCGGGUGUUCAGGAGCUUGCUGAGAGCGAGAGAUAGGCCCCCAUAUGUUGCCCCCAGCCUCACCUGCUGUGUCCUGCCCAUGAGGAAGCCGUACAUCCACUGGCAGAUGGCAGGCGAGACGUUGAGCUGGAGAAGCUUGGAGGAGAGGAGUUUGAGGAUGAUGGUGUUGAACGCAGUGCUGAAGUCCAUGAACAGGAUCAUUGCAUAGGACCCUGCGCCGUUGAGGUGUUCCAGAAUGUAGUGCCGUCCCAUGUUGACUGCGUCAUCCACAGACUUGUUUUCUCGAUAGACAAAUUGCAGGGGGUCCAGCAGGGGUCCUGGGACGCUCUUGAGGUGGUCCAGCACGAGGCGUUCAAAGGACUUCAUGACCACAGAUAUCAGGGCGACAGGUCUGUAGUCAUUCAGUCCUGAAAUUGCAGGUUUCUUGGGGACUGGUAUGAUGGUGGAGCGUUUGAGGCAGGAUGGGACUUAACACAGUUCCAAAGAUCUAUUGAAGAGCUGUGUAAGAACUGUAGUGAGCUGGUCCGCACAGACUUUCAAGCAAGAGGGGGAAACACUCUCUGGGCCUACCGCUUUGUUGUUUUUUUGUUGGAAAAGAUACGUCUCAUGUCCUGUUCAUGAAUAGUCAAUGCAGAAGAGGGAGUCAGAGGUGUGAUGGUGGUCGUCAGUGGUGGGGUGUGAAAGUGUCCUUUUCAAAUCUGCAGUAGAAGGUAUUCAAGUCGUCAUCCAGUUCUUAAUUGUUCUCCGCUUGGGGGAUGAUCACUUGUAGUUGGUCAGGGAUUGGAAUCCUCACCAAACUGACACAGAGUUGUUCGCAGCAAACAGGUUUUCCAGUGUAUCUGCAUAAUUUCUCUUUGCCAUGUUGAUUUCCUUUGUCAGAUGGUUUCUGGCUUGAUUGUACAGGGCUCUGUCCCCACUCCAAUACGCGUCCUCUUUAGCCUGGAGAGGUUUGGCACUGAACUACAGCUUGUUAUUGAAUGUUCGAAAUGUCUUUGUUGGUACACACACAUCUUCACAAAAACUGAUGUAGGAUGUAAUGUAUAUUCAUUCAAGCUGCCAUUGGAAGUUUCAGAGAUACUCCAAUAUGUGCAGUCUAAACAGUCUUGAAGUUUCAUUUCAUUAGCUUCAUUGGUCCACCUCUUCACUGUUUUCACCACAGGCUUAGUACAUUUAAGUUUGUGCCUGUUAAACAGUGAUCAGAUGAGCCCAAUGCUGCACGGGGAAUAGCAUGGUACAAGUCCUUCAGCGUUGUAUAGCAGUGGUCUGGAAUGUUGUUUUUCCUGGUGGGACAGUCAAUGUGCUGCUUGUAUUUAGGGAGCUCGUGAUUGAGUUUUGCUUGUUAAAGUCCCCAAGAAUAAUUAAGAGUGCUUUUUCUCAAGCUCUUUUUCUUGGUCAGCCAGCGUUUGCAGUGCAGCGUUCGGGUCAGCCUGUAGGGGGAUACCAACACCGGCGAGUAUGAAUUAAGUUAACUCGCGUGGAGUGUGGAAUGACUUACAGUUCAAAAACAGCAACUCCAAGUCCUGGCUGCAGUGUGUGCUGAGCUCCAUGACAUCUGUACACCAUGUAGGGCUGCAUCGGUUGCCAAAUACGGCGUUUGUCCUCUGACAUAUGAAAGCUUGUGUAUAUAGUGUGUUCAAAUGGGUUUUGUUCUGGAAUUCCCGAACAAAAUCUGGCACUCUUGAAUGAAAAUUAACAUGCAUUCAUAAACCGCUCACAGCGCCAGAUGACUGCAUUCUCCAUAACAUUAAUCAGACAGAAAUUAACUAAGUUCAGUUCACGUUCGCCCAAAAUAUGAAGUAGUUCAUGAACUUUCGUUCAACUGCACUCAUAGUUAACAGAAACGCUCUGCAGAGUGAACGUUAUGUUAGACUAACGUUUAUCUCACUGAUAUGCGCUAUGUUAAUUCUUCACUCGGGUCCCACAACCCGGCAUCUUCGGUGGAGAAAAAGGUCCGUGUUACAACAAACUCGCCUUGCAUUUUACUAUGAAUUGCUACCACACGUUCACCAUUUCUGUUGUGCUUUUUCUCUUCUCAACUCAGCCUCAAGUCGCAUCUUUCCACUAUGUUGCUGCUCCUUCAACCGAGCAACUUCCAAAAAAUUCCGUAUUCUACUUCCCAUGCAUCGGUGACGUAAAAGCGCAUUAUUUCACAUACGCCUCUUCGUGCUUCCGUCUUCGCGACCGUCUCCGCAGUAAAACUGUGAUUUGCCGUUUUGCUUUUAAAUGUGUUUUUCGAGGCGCAAAAUGCUUUUAACUCGCAAACUGCGAUCCGAGUCUGCUUAAUUUGAGCCGUGAUAUAACAGGAAUGUUGAAUGAUUAUGACGUGCCACGACACAUCUUUGCCACAGAAACAGGGAACAAUAUUUUCUCACGGGUUUACGUAGCACAUAUACGUUAACAAUUGUAAAGUAUUGUAGCACGCCGAGAGGUUAGUUUGUUUAUUAUAGGGCAACAAGAAGUAACAAAAAAUGACUCAGAUAGCACUUCGAGUGUGCCUCUCGCUCUAGAACCACACGCGUUUGAAGACGCAGCUGUAACAUAGCAUAAGGCCUUCCAAUACUACACGCCAAGACAUUAAUCCUUUUAUUUCAAAAAAUUUACAAAAACAACUCUCAGAAAGCACCUAACAUGUCUCUCGCGCUGCGGACUAAACCUUAUCACAGGCAUUUGAUAUCGACGGUUUUUAAGCCCUAAAAUUUUUUUAUUAAUUUAAAUAAAUUUCCACGUGACAUUAGGGAGAAAAAAUGUGACUUACAUCAGUUCCAGACACCCAACUGACAAGUUAUAUUCAAGUGGCAGAAGUUGUCCAACUUCCUGGCUAGGAAAAAAAAUUCUCCGCAGGGAAGAAAACAUUGGUGGCUAUCGGUACAUUUUCACCCCUCUCUUUUCUGUCCUCCUUCCCAUGAUGCAACGCAGUAAAAAAAUAAAAAUAAUUUUACAUUUACAUUUUUAGUAAAAAUGAAGGAUUACAGUAGUGCUUUAUUUUUUUCGUUUGUUUUUGCCCCCAUAUUGCAUUGCAUACAGUAAAAUGCUUCAUAAUUAAAAAUACAGUAUAAUACUGGUCCAAUCUUACAGGUAAGGCUUGUGGUGUAUGCUCACUAUGGAAAAUGCUUAACAUCGCUUAGUGUCACAAAACUGAGAUCGAUUGUUACCGAAAUCUAUGUGGACAUCUAUGCUUUUGCCCAUCUAUACGGGCAAUUUAGAGUCGUCAAUUUACCUACCAUGCAUGUUUUGGGGAUGUGGGAGGAAACCCACGCAGGCAUGGGAAGAACAUGCAAACUCCACACAAGCGAGGCCGGAUUUGAAACUGGGCCCUCAGAACUGUGAGGCACAUUGGCUAACGAGUCGGUCACCAUGUCACCUAAUUUGAAACAUCCAUCCAUCCAUCCAUUUUCUGAGCCGCUUCUCCUCACUAGGGUCGCGGGCGUGCUGGAGCCUAUCCCAGCUGUCAUCGGGCAGGAGGCGGGGUACACCCUGAACUGGUUGCCAGCCAAUCGCAGGGCACAUCGAAACAAACAACCAUUCGCACUCACAGUCAUGCCUACGGGCAAUUUAGAGUCUCCAAUUAAUGCAUGUUUUUGGGAUGUGGGAGGAAACCGGAGUGCCCGGAGAAAACCCACGCAGGCACGGGGAGAACAUGCAAACUCCACACAGGCGGGGACGGGGAUUGAACCCCGCACCUCAGAACUGUGAGGCUGACGCUCUAACCAGUCGGCCACCGUGCCGCCUAAUUUGAAACAGUAUUUAAAAAUAAAAUAUACUGUACAUGUUUUUUCAGAGGCUAUUUUUAAACAAAAAGCCUUCACUAUUAAUUUUUAUGAAAGUGGGUCGCAAAUUUGCAUCAACAGGAAAAUGUCGGUCCCAGGGUGAGAACAGUUGAGAACCACUGUUUAACAGGCGAGCAUGGACGUGCACAACUGAGAAAAUAAUUUUUUUAAAUAUUCUAUUUUUGCCUUCUUUUUUUUCUUCUAUUGUUUAGGUGGUUUUACAUGUAAAGGUGUUGCUCGCAAAUUGUCAGUACAGUAUUUAUUUUUGUAUCUAAAAGAACAGUGGAUAGUUGUAGUUAUUGAAUGAUGAUUGUCAAUAUUAAAGACACAUUGCAUAGCAGUUAAUUUUGUUUUAUAGAUGCCUGCAUGCUUUGUCAUUAUGCCUGCCUGUAGGAGCCUCCCCUCUCCCAGUGAGCAAUAGUUCACUCAUGAGUGUGCUGUGAGGCAUGGUGGGCGGGGGUGUGAACAGUGAUGGCGAGCUAAACCUGGGAAUCAAAAUUCUGAAUCGUCAUUAUUUGCCAAGUAUAUCAAAAACAAAAUACUAGACAGAAAUACGUCAAAGGUACUACAGAGAGUCACUUAACAAAAAAGGUUACCAAUAAUGUGAUCAUGCUGAUACAAUUACAGUUGUGCAAAUGAUGCAGUCCUCUAGCAAUUUAAUGGGAAGAGGGAGAAGCUGUUGGAAUGUCUGCUUGCUUGAGUUUGCAUUGCUCGAUAGGGCUGACCUGAGAGAAAUAGCUGGAAAAGGUGGUGCCCAGGAUGUGGAGGGUCCAAGAGGCAUGCAUCUUGUCUUAGUUCUGGCAGCGUGCAAGUCCUCAAGGCGUUGUCGUUUUUUCCGGGAGUCCUGAUUGUACGUUGCAGUCGGAGUUUGUCCUUUUCUAUGGCAGCACCAAACCACACUGUGAUGUACAAACACAGGACUGAUUCGUUGACUGCUGUGUACUGCCUCAACAGCUCCUGUGGCAGGCCGUGCUUCCUCAGAAGCCGUAGAAAGUACAUCCUCUGCUGGGCCUUUUUGAGGAUGGAGUUAAUGUUGGUCUCCCACUUUAGGUCCUGCGAGACUGUAAUUCCCAGGAACUUGAAGGUCUUGAUGAUUGACACAGGCAGAAUGCCGUGGAAAUCUUCUCUCGUGAUUGGUCCGUUUUAGUCACAUGCUGUGAUGACGUAUCAGCUUUCCCCUUGGUUCCUCAAUAACGCCAUUCCAACUUUCCUUUAGUGGCCGCACAUACCACCUACGCCACCAACUUUUUGAUCGAUUUUGCAAUAUAAUUAAACGCGUCAUUUAGUCAUCUCGGUCCAUUUGUACUAGCAGGCACUGUUCAACGGUCACCGUUGUUGUUGCUUUGUUCCUUGUUCCGGAAAGUAAAAACGACUACCGGAAUUGGUCAUAAAAUGCAGAGGAAACUCCACGCUGUGGUAUCCUAGCUAAUACCAGCCGUAGUGACACCCCGACUUGGAUGAGAACUGCAGCACAUUUUCAAAAUAGCGCGCGUGGGUUGCUCUCGAGUAUAAAGGCAAACUGCGUGCGGGAUAGCCACAGCGACGUCAGCGACGUCGCCGCCCACACGAGUAUAAAAAAGCCUUUAAACAGUUCCACAAUAAGAACCUUACACAGUACCGGUACGUGGUUUUGCCAAGACAAGACAAACAUGUAUACAGUACACUGUUGCUGAGGCUGAGGCUUUGGCUAUGCUGCAAAGUAUGGACCAUUGUGACUCAGAUGGAGGGGAGAGUUCAGACUGUGACAAUUUUUUCAGGUGAUGAUGUGUUCCUGAUGGGAGAGCAAAACUCCUACAGUGAGAAAGCACUUGAGGGGGUUUUCUACCAACUAGCCCAGGAACUUUGAGUUCCUGUUAGAAAAAGGUUCCUGAGGCCCAUGCGGUUUGUGUUUCCAUCUCAUUUAUUAGUUAGUUCGUUAUGUUAGUUAGAUUCUUAGUUCAAGGUAGAUUUAGAAAAUGAGGCUGAUGUUGCUAAAUACUGACAGCUACAGGAUCUAAAAAUAUGCUGGUAUUUCAAGCUUUUCAAAUUAAUGUCUUAUUUUAUAUCUUAAUUUAAAUAUCAAAUAUUUUUUAUAUUUAUUCAGGUGAGGCAAUUGAGAACUGAUUGCCAUUUGCAAAGCCAAUCUGGCUGCAGAUGGUCUUCGAGGUAGAGUUUUAUUAUAUACAGGUACAUUAAAUAAAUUUGAAUAUACUUUUUUUCUAUUUUAUUAAGAUGACAUACCUAAAUAGAUUGUGCAACAGAAACGUGCAGGUGUCUAUGGAUGUGAUUUAUUAGCUGGAAAAUGCAAUAGGGACAUGACUUUUAUGGUUCUUUUAUUCACCAUGUGCUUUGAUGUAAUGUAAUUUUUCACUUGUUACUAUAUCAGAUUGUACAGUUUGUAUAUGUAGUUGCUUCUAUUUUGCUUUGUUUUACUCUGCUGUCUGUAGCCAGGUUGGCAUGGCAAAUACCUGACCUGUACAAGGUUUAAAAAAUAAAUAAAAACUACACGUCUUCAUACUCUUGGUAAAUACAGCAGUUUUAAGUAUUUGGUAUCUGUAAAUGUGUUUGCAUAAAAAAAAAAAAAAAACUGUACAUUGUAAAUAUUUAUUUGUGAACGUACAAACACAGACAAAAAGCCAGGCUUCAUUUCCUUGUCUUGCCUUAUGGCAAACGCAGCAUUUUUCUGCAGGCUGGAGGAGCUCCUGCCUGGGAACGUUUUUUAUUUAUUUUUUCCCAUGCCACUGACUGGAAUGGACCAUCAGAGCAUCCCCAGCGGCGGUGUUCUCCUCUGGCCUGGUCGAGGAAGACACACACGCCCGCUUGGGUCCGGACCAACGCUCCUUUGUGGGACUGAGUUAGCCAGCGGUGGACCUUGCCGCCAGAGCAGCAGUGGAUCGCGCCGCUGAGCCUGUGGCAGUGGCGGAUUUCUCUGUGGCAAAGGCUGCUGCUCGGGGGGAGCCCUGCUUUGGCCUGGCAAAGUAAACUCUGCGAGCACAGAGUUUUUCCAGCCUGCUUCAUGUCCACCAAAUGCGGUUCAGCAGGAAAACGUAAAGUGGCCCAAUGGUUAAGAUCAUCGCCUGCCACCGUGGGGGACCUAGGUUCAAAACCCCGACUGGACCAUCCGCCAACAUCCCCCGGACUCACGGCUGUGGUGUCCCUGAGCAAGACACUGAUACCCCGAAAUGCUCCCCGGGCGCUUCAGCUGCCCCCUGCUCCAGUGUGUUCCACUAACAUGUGUAUGUGUUCACUGUGAUGGGUUAAAUGCAGAGAACAAAUUUCGUGUGCAUGCAUGC